AACGAAGGCUGGCGGCAUGCCUAACACAUGCAAGUCGAACGAGACCUUCGGGUCUAGUUGCGCACGGGUGCGUAACGCGUGGGAACCUGCCCUUAGGUUCGGAAUAACUCCCCGAAAGGGGUGCUAAUACCGGAUAAUGUCUUCGGACCAAAGAUUUAUCGCCUUUGGAUGGGCCCGCGUUGGAUUAGCUAGUUGGUAGGGUAAAAGCCCACCAAGGCGACGAUCCAUAGCUGGUCUGAGAGGAUGAUCAGCCACACUGGGACUGAGACACGGCCCAGACUCCUACGGGAGGCAGCAGUGGGGAAUAUUGGAAAAUGGGCGAAAGACUGAUCCAGCAAUGCCGCGUGAGUGAUGAAGGCCUUAGGGUUGUAAAGCUCGUUUACCCGGGAUGAUAAUGACAGUACCGGGAGAAUAAGCUCCGGCUAACUCCGUG
Molecule: ribosomal RNA, 433 nt
Filed under: uncultured bacterium
Lineage: Bacteria
Description: partial 16S ribosomal RNA
Rfam family: Bacterial small subunit ribosomal RNA
Source: RNAcentral